This 263-nucleotide ribosomal RNA is filed under the name uncultured bacterium. RNAcentral describes it as "partial 16S ribosomal RNA". It matches the Rfam family "Bacterial small subunit ribosomal RNA", at positions 524 to 779 of the family's 1533-position model. The record is from RNAcentral.
UACGAAGGGGGGCUAGCGUUGUUCGGAAUUACUGGGCGUAAAGGGCGCGUAGGCGGCCAUUCAAGUUAGGUGUGAAAGCCCUGGGCUCAACCUAGGAAUUGCACUUGAUACUGUUUUGGCUUGAGUUCGGGGAGAGGUGAGUGGAAUUCCCCAGUGUAGAGGUGAAAUUCGUAGAUAUUGGGAAGAACACCAGUGGCGAAGGGCGGCUCACUGGCCCGGUACUGACGCUCAGGUGCGAAAAGCGUGGGGGAGCGAACGGGGAU